This 454-nucleotide unclassified non-coding RNA is filed under the name Hevea brasiliensis (rubber tree). Lineage: Eukaryota; Viridiplantae; Streptophyta; Magnoliopsida; Malpighiales; Euphorbiaceae. The record is from RNAcentral.
GGAAAUGAGAGACAAAAUUGAGGAGAAAGAGAGGGAAAUCACCAGUUUCAAAAAGACUAUUGAGAAUUUGGAAUUGGUGGUAACAAAGAACGGCCUGGAAUUAGAUAAGUGGAUCAAGGAGAAACUUAAGGUGGAAGAGUUGUUGAAGGAGUCAGAGGAGAAAACGAAAAUGUUUGAGUCGAAAAUGGUUCAGUUGCAGAAGGAAGUAGAGGAAGCACAGAAAGUCAUUAGUGGAUUAAAGGAGAAAGCGGUGAAUGCGUUGAAUGGAACUGCAGAGGAACUCAAGUCGGCUUUCGAAGGUGCAGAGAAGGAGUUGAAUUUGAACUGGCCUAUAAUUGCAGGUUCAACAGGAGUUGUUGCUGCCGUCGCUGCACUGGCCUUUGUUUUGUAUGGAAGGCAAAGAUAGAUUGUGAUGCAACGAAGCCAGAUAGUUGAGAUGGAGACUUGAUUCAGA